RNAcentral lists this ribosomal RNA (484 nucleotides) under uncultured bacterium. RNAcentral describes it as "partial 16S ribosomal RNA". It matches the Rfam family "Bacterial small subunit ribosomal RNA", at positions 30 to 507 of the family's 1533-position model. The record is from RNAcentral.
AUUGAACGCUGGCGGCAGGCCUAACAUAUGCAAGUCGAGCGGAUGAAGGGAGCUUGCUCCUGGAUUCAGCGGCGGACGGGUGAGUAAUGCCUAGGAAUCUGCCUGGUAGUGGGGGAUAACGUCCGGAAACGGGCGCUAAUACCGCAUACGUCCUGAGGGAGAAAGUGGGGGAUCUUCGGACCUCACGCUAUCAGAUGAGCCUAGGUCGGAUUAGCUAGUUGGUGGGGUAAAGGCCUACCAAGGCGACGAUCCGUAACUGGUCUGAGAGGAUGAUCAGUCACACUGGAACUGAGACACGGUCCAGACUCCUACGGGAGGCAGCAGUGGGGAAUAUUGGACAAUGGGCGAAAGCCUGAUCCAGCCAUGCCGCGUGCGUGAAGAAGGUCUUCGGAUUGUAAAGCACUUUAAGUUGGGAGGAAGGGCAGUAAGUUAAUACCUUGCUGUUUUGACGUUACCAACAGAAUAAGCACCGGCUAACUUCGUG